AGUGAUGACAAAGUAACUUUCU
This 22-nucleotide microRNA is filed under the name Monodelphis domestica (gray short-tailed opossum). RNAcentral describes it as "mdo-miR-12336-3p". The record is from miRBase by way of RNAcentral. Lineage: Eukaryota; Metazoa; Chordata; Mammalia; Didelphimorphia; Didelphidae.